This is a long non-coding RNA of Oncorhynchus kisutch (coho salmon), 1674 nucleotides long. The record is from Ensembl. Lineage: Eukaryota; Metazoa; Chordata; Actinopteri; Salmoniformes; Salmonidae.
AUGAGGCCUCACCUCCUGGCUACACUAGUGACCAUAUCCCCCGUGCAUCCCGCAAAGGUGGAGGUGUUGCUAACAUUUACGAUAGCAAAUUUCAAUUUACAAAAAAAAGUCAUGAAAUCUAUGCAGCCUACUCAAUCACUUUUUAUAGCUACUGUUUACAGGCCUCCUGGGCCAUAUACAGCGUUUCUCACUGAGUUCCCUGAAUUCCUAUCGGACCUUGUAGUCAUAGCAGAUAAUAUUCUAAUCUUUGGUGACUUUAAUAUUCACAUGGAAAAGUCCACAGACCCACUCCAAAAGGCUUUCGGAGCCAUCAUCGACUCAGUGGGUUUUGUCCAACAUGUCUCUGGACCCACUCACUGUCACAGUCAUACGCUGGACCUAGUUUUGUCCCAUGGAAUAAAUGUGGUGGAUCUUAAUGUUUUUCCUCAUAAUCCUGGACUAUCGGACCACCAUUUUAUUACGUUUGCAAUUGCAACAAAUAAUCUGCUUAGACCCCAACCAAGGAACAUCAAAAGUCGUGCUAUAAAUUCACAGACAACACAAAGAUUCCUUGAUGCCCUUCCAGACUCCCUCUGCCUACCCAAGGACGCCAGAGGACAAAAAUCAGUUAACCACCUAACCGAGGAUCUCAAUUUAACCUUGCGCAAUACCCUAGAUGCAGUUGCACCCCUAAAAACAAAAAAAAUGUCUCAUAAGAAACUAGCUCCCUGGUACACAGAAAAUACCCGAGCUCUGAAGCAAGCUUCCAGAAAAUUGGAACGGAAAUGGCGCCACACCAAACUGGAAGUCUUCCGACUAGCUUGGAAGGACGGUACCGUGCAGUACCGUAGAGCCCUUACUGCUGCUCGAUCAUCCUAUUUUUCUAACUUAAUUGAGGAAAAUAAGAACAAUCCGAAAUUCCUUUUUAAUACUGUCGCAAAGCUAACUAAAAAGCAGCAUUCCCCAAGAGAGGAUGACUUUCACUUUAGCAGUGAUAAAUUCAUGAACUUCUUUGAGGAAAAGAUUAUGAUUAUUAGAAAGCAAAUUACGGACUCCUCUUUAAACCUGCGUAUUCCUCCAAACCUCAGUUGUCCUGAGUCUGCACAACUCUGCCAGGACCUAGGAUCAAGAGAGACGCUCAAGUGUUUUAGUACUAUAUCUCUUGACACAAUGAUGAAAAUAAUCAUGGCCUCUAAACCUUCAAGCUGCAUACUGGACCCUAUUCCAACUAAACUACUGAAAGAGCUGCUUCCUGUGCUUGGCCCUCCUAUGUUGAACAUAAUAAACGGCUCUCUAUCCACUGGAUGUGUACCAAACUCACUAAAAGUGGCAGUAAUAAAGCCUCUCUUGAAAAAGCCAAACCUUGACCCAGAAAAUAUAAAAAACUAUCGGCCUAUAUCGAAUCUUCCAUUCCUCUCAAAAAUUUUAGAGAAGGCUGUUGCGCAGCAACUCACUGCCUUCCUGAAGACAAACAAUGUAUACGAAAUGCUUCAGUCUGGUUUUAGACCCCAUCAUAGCACUGAGACGGCACUUUUGAAGGUGGUAAAUGACAUUUUAAUGGCAUCUAGAAGCAUGUGUUUCAGACAUAAAGAAGUGGAUGGCUGCAAACUUUCUACUAUUAAACUCGGACAAAACAGAGAUGCUUGUUCUAGGUCCCAAGAAACAAAGAGAUCUUCUGUUGAAUCUGACAAUUAA